UACGUAGGUGGCAAGCGUUAUCCGGAUUUACUGGGUGUAAAGGGCGUGUAGGCGGGAGCGCAAGUCAGAUGUGAAAUUCCAGGGCUCAACCCUGGACCUGCAUUUGAAACUGUGUUUCUUGAGUGAUGGAGAGGCAGGCGGAAUUCCCUGUGUAGCGGUGAAAUGCGUAGAUAUAGGGAGGAACACCAGUGGCGAAGGCGGCCUGCUGGACAUUAACUGACGCUGAGGCGCGAAAGCGUGGGGAGCAAACAGGAUUAGAUA
This 261-nucleotide ribosomal RNA is filed under the name uncultured prokaryote. Its description in RNAcentral is "partial 16S ribosomal RNA". It matches the Rfam family "Bacterial small subunit ribosomal RNA", at positions 524 to 784 of the family's 1533-position model. The record is from RNAcentral.